CCUACGGGUGGCAGCAGUGAGGAAUCUUGCGCAAUGGAGGAAACUCUGACGCAGCGACGCCGCGUAUAUGAAGAAGGUUUUCGGAUUGUAAACUUUUGUCGUUAGGGAAGAUAAAAGACUGUACCUAAGGAGGAAGCCCCGGCUAACUAUGUGCCAGCAACCGCGGUAAUACAUAGGGGGCAGACGUUAUCUGGAAUUAUUGGGUGUAACGGGUGCGUAGACGGAAGAACAAGUUGGUUGUGAAAUCCCUCGGCUUAACUGAGGAACUGCAACCAAAACUAUUCUCCUUGAGUGUAGGAGAGGAAAGUGGAAUUCCAAGUGUAGCGGUGAAAUGCGUAGAUAUUAGGAGGAACACCAGUGGCGAAGGCGACUUUCUGG
RNAcentral lists this ribosomal RNA (378 nucleotides) under uncultured bacterium. Its description in RNAcentral is "partial 16S ribosomal RNA". It matches the Rfam family "Bacterial small subunit ribosomal RNA", at positions 338 to 732 of the family's 1533-position model. The record is from RNAcentral.